This 449-nucleotide ribosomal RNA is filed under the name uncultured bacterium. RNAcentral describes it as "bacterial SSU rRNA". It matches the Rfam family "Bacterial small subunit ribosomal RNA", at positions 29 to 524 of the family's 1533-position model. The record is from RNAcentral.
AACGAACGCUGGCGGCAUGCCUAACACAUGCAAGUCGAACGAAGUCUUCGGACUUAGUGGCGCACGGGUGCGUAACGCGUGGGAAUCUGCCCUUGGGUGCGGAAUAACUUCUCGAAAGGGAUGCUAAUACCGCAUAAUGUCGUAAGACCAAAGAUUUAUCGCCCAAGGAUGAGCCCGCGUAAGAUUAGCUAGUUGGUGGGGUAAAAGCCUACCAAAGCGACGAUCUUUAGCUGGUCUGAGAGGAUGAUCAGCCACACUGGGACUGAGACACGGCCCAGACUCCUACGGGAGGCAGCAGUGGGGAAUAUUGGACAAUGGGCGAAAGCCUGAUCCAGCAAUGCCGCGUGAGUGAUGAAGGCCCUAGGGUUGUAAAGCUCUUUACCAGGGAUGAUAAUGACAGUACCUGGAGAAUAAGCUCCGGCUAACUCCGUGCCAGCAGCCGCGGUAAU